UGAGCCCUGUGUCCUGAACCUCAUUCCCAG
This 30-nucleotide non-coding RNA is filed under the name Mus musculus (house mouse). Lineage: Eukaryota; Metazoa; Chordata; Mammalia; Rodentia; Muridae. The record is from RNAcentral.